RNAcentral lists this ribosomal RNA (294 nucleotides) under uncultured bacterium. Its description in RNAcentral is "partial 16S ribosomal RNA". It matches the Rfam family "Bacterial small subunit ribosomal RNA", at positions 333 to 642 of the family's 1533-position model. The record is from RNAcentral.
UGAAGCCUACGGGAGGCAGCAGUGGGGAAUAUUGCACAAUGGGCGCAAGCCUGAUGCAGCAACGCCGCGUGAGCGAAGAAGGUCUUCGGAUCGUAAAGUUCUGUCCUUGAGGAAGAAGGAAGUGACGGUACUCAAGGAGGAAGCCCCGGCUAACUACGUGCCAGCAGCCGCGGUAAUACGUAGGGGGCAAGCGUUAUCCGGAAUUAUUGGGCGUAAAGAGUACGCAGGCGGUUUUGUAAGCGCGGGGUGAAAGGCAGUGGCUUAACCAUUGUAAGCCUUGCGAACUGCAAGACU